This is a non-coding RNA of Gemmatimonadetes bacterium GWC2_71_9, 117 nucleotides long. Lineage: Bacteria; Pseudomonadati; Gemmatimonadota. The record is from Rfam.
GCUGGCGACUAGCGCGCAGGGGUCACACCCGUUCCCAUCCCGAACACGGCAGUUAAGCCCUGCAGCGUCGAUGGUACUGCCGACGGACGUCGGUGGGAGAGUAGACCGCCGCCAGCC